GGAGGAGUGGCCGAGUGGUUGAAGGCGCACGCUUGGAAAGCGUGUAUGGGGCAACUCAUCGCAGGUUCGAAUCCUGUCUCCUCCGCCA
This 88-nucleotide transfer RNA is filed under the name Alphaproteobacteria bacterium. RNAcentral's name for it is "tRNA-Ser". It matches the Rfam family "tRNA". From Rfam's summary of the family: Transfer RNA (tRNA) molecules are approximately 80 nucleotides in length. Their secondary structure includes four short double-helical elements and three loops (D, anti-codon, and T loops). Further hydrogen bonds mediate the characteristic L-shaped molecular structure. tRNAs have two regions of fundamental functional importance: the anti-codon, which is responsible for specific mRNA codon recognition, and the 3' end, to which the tRNAs corresponding amino acid is attached (by aminoacyl-tRNA synthetases). tRNAs cope with the degeneracy of the genetic code in two manners: having more than one tRNA (with a specific anti-codon) for a particular amino acid; and 'wobble' base-pairing, i.e. permitting non-standard base-pairing at the 3rd anti-codon position. The record is from RNAcentral. Lineage: Bacteria; Pseudomonadati; Pseudomonadota; Alphaproteobacteria.